This 83-nucleotide transfer RNA is filed under the name Oscillatoriales cyanobacterium. RNAcentral describes it as "tRNA-Leu". It matches the Rfam family "tRNA". Rfam says of the family: Transfer RNA (tRNA) molecules are approximately 80 nucleotides in length. Their secondary structure includes four short double-helical elements and three loops (D, anti-codon, and T loops). Lineage: Bacteria; Bacillati; Cyanobacteriota; Cyanophyceae; Oscillatoriales. RNAcentral also lists the same sequence under 1 other name. The record is from RNAcentral.
GGGGAUGUGGCGGAAUGGUAGACGCUGCGGACUUAAAAUCCGCUGCUAGCAAUAGCGUGCGGGUUCAAGUCCCGCCAUCCCCA